UAGGGAAUCUUCCGCAAUGGACGCAAGUCUGACGGAGCAACGCCGCGUGAGUGAAGAAGGAUUUCGGUUCGUAAAGCUCUGUUGUUAAGGAAGAACGAGUGUGAGAAUGGAAAGUUCAUACUGUGACGGUACUUAACCAGAAAGGGACGGCUAACUACGUGCCAGCAGCCGCGGUAAUACGUAGGUCCCGAGCGUUGUCCGGAUUUAUUGGGCGUAAAGCGAGCGCAGGCGGUUAGAUAAGUCUGAUGUGAAAGCCCCCGGCUCAACCGGGGAGGGUCAUUGGAAACUGGUUGACUUGAGUGCAGAAGAGGAGAGUGGAAUUCCAUGUGUAGCGGUGAAAUGCGUAGAUAUAUGGAGGAACACCAGUGGCGAAGGCGACUCUCUGGUCUGUAACUGACGCUGAGGUUCGAAAGCGUGGGUAGCAAACAGG
RNAcentral lists this ribosomal RNA (430 nucleotides) under Bacteroidota bacterium. RNAcentral's name for it is "Bacteroidetes bacterium partial 16S ribosomal RNA". It matches the Rfam family "Bacterial small subunit ribosomal RNA", at positions 355 to 776 of the family's 1533-position model. Lineage: Bacteria; Pseudomonadati; Bacteroidota. The record is from RNAcentral.